This 869-nucleotide long non-coding RNA is filed under the name Dromaius novaehollandiae (emu). RNAcentral describes it as "lncRNA (ENSDNVG00000017028.1)". Lineage: Eukaryota; Metazoa; Chordata; Aves; Casuariiformes; Dromaiidae. The record is from RNAcentral.
UGUUAAUAAGGGCUAGUCUGCUUAGUUUCAGUCCUCAUUCAGGCACGUACAACUAGAUCCUCAUUUGUGUUUGACUGUCCUGGAGACAGUAUGUGCAAGGUUACAUAAUAUAUAGCUUCUCCUUCAGACCAAGUACAAUUAAAACAGAGGUAAAGACAGAAUUAGCCAAUUCACCCUUAAUAAAGCUCCACUCUGUAUAUUUACCUGCACAAAAAAUAUCCAUUAAAAUGCAGCUUGUUUCAGUUAACUGAAAACAGGUAAGUUUUAAAAAAUUAGAGGGCAAAAUAAGUGGGUAGACUUUAUACUUGUUACACAACAAGGAACUAAUAAUCCUUCUGCCUUCCUUGAGAGAGAGUCAGGGGUUCAGUAGCUUUAUGUGGGAUGACUGUCAUCAUUUGUUGUACUGUGGUGCUUGCAGGCUCCAGCUGAGAGGAGGGUCCCACUGUGCUGCACAGAAACAGGGAGGCAAUCCCUGCCCCAAAGCAUUUACAGUCGGAGGCUGCAAGGGUACAAGGGCCGUGACGGUCUGCGCUCCUCUGCUAAAUACCUGGGUCCCAGCACAAUGGCGGUGGCUGAGCUGAGUUUUCCUGGAUGUCCUUCGCUGUCAGUCUAUUUAGCAGGACUUUGAGGUCAAGGUGCCCUACAUCUUAGGGCCCAUGCUAACAUUUCAGUCAUAUGAAGAAAGGAAUAGAGUGCUACAUGCUGUUGUAUACUUACAGAGCCUCCUUUUUAUAGAUCAUGAAAGUGGCUCCUGGACUCCAGAUGCUGUGGAGUCAGUAAAGGAGGUCUGUGUGCUGUGGAAUUGGCAGCUGGAAUUUCCGAAAACRUCCAUCACAAUUUUUGCAGCACCACUGAGCAUCCUGGCCUGA